GGCCUUCUGGUGCUUACACAGGUUGUGUUCCUAUACUGACUGUAUAGAAAGAGGAGGCAAAGUAAACCUACCCCAUAUACACCUCAGCCCAAGCCCUGUGCUUGGGCUGUAUUUUGAAUGGGGAGACAUGG
RNAcentral lists this small nucleolar RNA (131 nucleotides) under Castor canadensis (American beaver). RNAcentral describes it as "Small nucleolar RNA SNORA51 (ENSCCNG00000000762.1)". It matches the Rfam family "Small nucleolar RNA SNORA51". From Rfam's summary of the family: ACA51 is a member of the H/ACA class of snoRNA that guide the sites of modification of uridines to pseudouridines. Lineage: Eukaryota; Metazoa; Chordata; Mammalia; Rodentia; Castoridae. The record is from Rfam by way of RNAcentral.